Zea mays is the source of this 1963-nucleotide RNA transcript. RefSeq lists it as uncharacterized. The record is from RefSeq and is marked provisional. The transcript is spliced from 12 exons. Lineage: Eukaryota; Viridiplantae; Streptophyta; Magnoliopsida; Poales; Poaceae.
GUUGUUAGUAGGUACAGUGCGUACUAGUGGUUUUGGUGUUUGGGCAGUUUGGCAGAGGGUAGGGUUCAUUUCACUCAUCACGGACCGACCGGCGACCGCACCCAAUGCAAGCAAUUUUUGCGGACAGGGGGACCUUCCUCUUCUUCUUCCUCGUCCCCGGCCCCUGCCCCUCUCCCCUGCGGAGACGGAGCGCCACCUUCCUCACCUUCUAGAAAGAACUAGAACCCUCCCUCCAGAACCUUGAAGACCAGCCCAGACCAGACCAGCCCCGAAGCUCUCCGCCGGCCCCGCCCUUGACGACAUGAAGCACCAGCCGCCGCGCCGCUGGGGCGUCGUGGCGGCGGUCGUCGCACUCGUCCUCCUCGCCUGCCUCCAGAUCCAGUACCACCACCUCAAGGUGGAUCUCGGCAAGGCCGGCUUUGCCUCUGCCACGCAAGAGAAUAACGCGAUCCGCAGCCGCAAUCGCAUUCGCUGGGGCCCCGACAGGAACGGCGCCCACUCCUUGCCGCGCGGGAUUGUCCACCGCCACUCCGACAUGUCCCUCCGCCCGCUCUGGGAGGACGACACUGCUUCCACCCACAAGAAUAAAAACAGUGACUACAGUGCUCUCCUCGCCAUGGCAGUCGGCAUCUCCCAAAUAAAAAACAUUGACACUAUGGCCCGUAAGUUUCUGAAGGAAAACUAUGCAGUCAUGCUCUUCCAUUAUGAUGGAAAUGUAGAUGGAUGGCGUCAUCUUGAGUGGAGUGAUAAGGCCAUACACAUCCUUGCUCACAACCAAACAAAAUGGUGGUUUGCUAAGCGUUUUCUGCAUCCUGAUGUCAUGGCUAUCUAUGAUUUCAUUUUUCUAUGGGAUGAAGACCUUGGAGUGGAGAACUUCAACCCUAGAAGAUAUCUUGAUAUAAUGGUGUCCGAAGGCUUGGAAAUAACACAACCUGCUCUGGACCCUGAUCUAUCAACUGAUAUCCACCAUCGAAUCACAAUCCGUAAUAAGAUGGCAAAAGUUCACAGGAGAAUAUACGACAAUCGGCCUAGUAUGAAUUGUUCUGACGAGAGCAAAGGACCUCCAUGUACAGGGUGGGUAGAGGGCAUGGCACCAGUUUUUUCUCGCACUGCUUGGAAAUGUGUAUGGCAUCUAAUUCAGAAUGAUCUUAUUCAUGGAUGGGGUCUUGACAUGAAGCUUGGAUAUUGCGCUCAGGUUCUCAAUAUAUGUUAACAGUCUUAAAAGAUAUUUUGAUAGGAUGUCUGUUGACUAUUGAGGGUGAUCGAACAGAGAAAGUUGGUGUUAUUGACAGUGAGUAUGUAGUUCAUCAAGGGAUACCAUCAUUAGGAGGGCCAUCACUUAGCAGCAAGACACCUCGAAGAUCAUUGGAUUUGAGGACCCACAUACGAAGACAAUCAUCGGCUGAGCUGGAGAAGUUCAAGGAGAGGUGGAACAGGGCUGUAAGGGAAGAUGAAGGAUGGAGGGAUCCUUUUGAUUCUUGAUUACUUGGAAAGCAGAGUGUGACACUUCUGAUAACAAAACUGGCCAGUGGCCACAGUCACAGCAGUAGAGUUUGGAAGCGGAGAGCAUCUUCUGCUUCAUGUCAAAAACACUUGUUUGGUUAUAGGAUGACGAGACGGUUGGUUGGUUAUAGGAUGAUGACUUACAUACACACACACACAUCAUAACUUUAUCCACAUGAGUUAAAAGCGGGAACAUUAUCGUCAAUACAAGGAGCUGAUGGAGAAGUUGAAACUAACAAAGUAACAGGGGGUUUCCGAAAGUGCUGUAAUUUUCCGUUGGAAAUAUCUGUUCGGGAGAGUUGUAUAGUGUCAUGAUAUACACACUUGUGCAGUUAUUUGAUGAGGAAACUUACAUAGCCUAGAGCAGAUGUGUUUCCUAUAUUAUUAUUGCCUUGUACAAUGUAAGAUGAAUUCCAUGAGUCAGAAAUAGCAUCAGGUCUCUAUGCUUAUACUUGGACAA